AUCCUCUCUUACUAUUUCUUUCUAACCAGGAAGGCAGAAUAUUUAGACUUCCACCAAAUUCCCAAGAAGCUGACCUUCGAAUCUGCACUGUCAUUGCUCAGGUCUUUUCCCACCCACCCAAAGGCCAUGCCAGAGGGUGGACUGGCUGUCACCGCAGUGCCCAGGAGGGUGAAUGACUGCUUCCCGUGUGCCAUGAUGCUGGCAACAACCAUGCCAGUCCUCCAGUCUCUCUAGCUGGGUGAUUAUCAGGAUGAUAAUGCAGAUAGCACUGCACUUGUGAUGGCUUUAUGAUUCAGUAAACAUUGAGCAGAACAGAAUCAGAGACAUUAAAGCUCAAGUUGGAGAAACAGUGGACAAAACCAGACCCAGCCCAAGAGUAUCGUAUUUGAAGAUCUAGCCAGGCACUGGCUGGGAACAUUGGGAUGAGGAAGAUGUAGUGCGAAUAAGAUCCUAAGCAGCCCAUGGAGAGAAUGAGAACAGAGGACUGGAAGGACGGACUUACCCUAUGGAAAGUUCCAGGAGAUUCAGUCUGCACUCAGGAGGAGGGAGCCUUCCGAGGGGGACCUGGUGGUGAAGACUGUCUGCAUGUAGACCCUAUGUGGAUGAGUUAGUCAAGGUCAACACACAGUCACCCAGGGACCCAGAGAGCCCCAAGAGCACCUUGGCAAGGUCAGUGAACUUCAUCUUAGUUCAUUUAUUUUUCAGGGGACAGUUUGCUGGACAAAUGAAAGAAAUGCAGAUUUUCUCAAAGAUUCCUAGGAGAAGUUGCCUAUUUCUUAGAAGAAGAGGUAGAGAUGAAAACCUCU
Molecule: long non-coding RNA, 806 nt
Filed under: Felis catus (domestic cat)
Lineage: Eukaryota; Metazoa; Chordata; Mammalia; Carnivora; Felidae
Description: lncRNA (ENSFCAG00000045359.2)
Source: RNAcentral